CUUGGUCAUUUAGAGGAAGUAAAAGUCGUAACAAGGUUUCCGUAGGUGAACCUGCGGAAGGAUCAUUAAAGAGUAAGGGUCUUCAAGGCCCGACCUCCAACCCUCUGUUGUUAUAACUACCUGUUGCUUUGGCGGGACCGUUUGGUCCUCCGAGCGCACCGGUCUUCGGAUUGGUGAGUGCCCGCCAGAGUCCAACCAAACUCUUGUAUUAAACCAGUCGUCUGAGUAUAAAAUUUUAAUUAAAUUAAAACUUUCAACAACGGAUCUCUUGGUUCUCGCAUCGAUGAAGAACGCAGCGAAAUGCGAUAAGUAAUGUGAAUUGCAGAAUUCAGUGAAUCAUCGAAUCUUUGAACGCACAUUGCGCCCCUUGGUAUUCCGAGGGGCAUGCCUGUUCGAGCGUCAUUACACCACUCAAGCAAUGCUUGGUAUUGGGCAUCGUCCGUCGAAAGGCGGGCGUGCCUCGAAGACCUCGGCGGGGUUUCACCAACUUCGGGCGUAGUAGAGUUAAAUCGAACGUCUUAUAAGUCUGGGGGAGCCUCAUUGCCGUUAAACCUUUUAUUUUCUAGGUUGACCUCGGAUCAGGUAGGGAUACCCGCUGAACUUAAGCAUAUCAAUAAGCGGAGGA
Molecule: ribosomal RNA, 625 nt
Filed under: uncultured Rhizosphaera
Lineage: Eukaryota; Fungi; Ascomycota
Description: eukaryotic LSU rRNA
Rfam family: 5.8S ribosomal RNA (bases 249-402)
Source: RNAcentral